UUUAAUUCGAUGCAACGCGAAGAACCUUACCUACCCUUGACAUACAGUGAAUUUUGCAGAGAUGCGAAGGUGCCUUCGGGAACACUGAUACAGGUGCUGCAUGGCUGUCGUCAGCUCGUGUCGUGAGAUGUUGGGUUAAGUCCCGUAACGAGCGCAACCCUUAUUCUUAGUUGCCAUCGCGUAAAGGCGGGAACUCUAAGGAGACUGCCGGUGACAAACCGGAGGAAGGCGGGGACGACGUCAAGUCAUCAUGGCCCUUACGGGUAGGGCUACACACGUGCUACAAUGGCCGGUACAGAGGGGAGCGAAGGGGUGACCUGGAGCGAAUCUUACAAAGCUGGUCGUAGUCCGGAUUGGAGUCUGCAACUCGACUCCAUGAAGUCGGAAUCGCUAGUAAUCACGAAUCAGCAUGUCGCGGUGAAUACGUUCCCGGGCCUUGUACACACCGCC
Molecule: ribosomal RNA, 450 nt
Filed under: uncultured bacterium
Lineage: Bacteria
Description: bacterial SSU rRNA
Rfam family: Bacterial small subunit ribosomal RNA
Source: RNAcentral